GCCCAGACAGCACAUGUACGUCUGGCCGACGUCGGCCCAAUAUCGAAACGUCGGCCUCUAUACCUAAAACAUCUAUAAAACAUCGGCCUGGCGGAGGCCGAUAUCAUUUGGUCAGUGCUCUGUUCUCCAGCUCAUCAAUCGUCGGCCCUGAGUUGGUUCACGACCGCGGGCCGAUGCUGCGCUUAUCUGUGUGCGCGUGCCCAGUAUUCGUCUCUUUUAGCCACCCAGAGAGAGAGAGAAGAGGAUAAUCCCAGCGACAUCUGUGGCUCUGAGGCUUCCAGAAAUAAUCCGGUGAAAUAAUAUGGUGAGCUAUUGUUGCUGUUGCUUCUGAACUACAAAAUGAUUUUUAAAUGUAUUAUUGAAUGAGACUGUACAUUAUAAAUGUAAUGCUUUAACUCUAGAUGUUUGUUUGUGUGAAUGCUGUGUGUGCGGUGAGUCCUGCGCGAGCGGGGAGCAGAGUUGCCAUGGAAACGGGGCGUCAACACAAAAACCGUUACUGGCAAACAGUAAUCUCCGUCUCUCGCUGCGGUUUACACUGUUUUAGAAACGGUUUAGUGUCUUCGGAAAAGUCCGUUAUCAUUUUAGCAGUUUUCAGGUAACGUUAGGCUAACUCUCUAGACUGAGCUCUUGUUGAUGAAACUCUGGGCUUUUAAUCAAAUCUUCGAUUUGAUUAAAACAAAAUGAUUUUUAAAUUAAUUAUUGAAUGAUUAUUGAACGAGACUGUACAUUAUAAAUGUAAUGUUUUAACUCUAGAUGUUUGUUUGUGUAAAUGCUGUGUGUGCGGUGAGUUCUGCGCGAGUGGGGAGCAGAGUUGCCAUGGAAACGGGGCGUCAACACAAAAACCGUUACUGGCAAACAGUAAUCUCCUUCUCUCGCUGCGGUUUACACUGUUUUAGAAACGGUUUAUUUUCUUCGGAAAAGUCCGUUAGCAUUUUAGCAGUUUUCAGGAGGACAGAAAGAAACUCUACAGAACAGAAGUGAAGCUCCAAGAUUUCAACAUUUAUGAAGGGAGAUACUGACUUAGAAAUACAGGUGAACUGAAGAAGCUCAUGAAAUACAUGAAUAUGCCUUUUUCAGAAUACAUUUCACCAAUUUUAAGAAGUCCCUGACAUCAUGACCUUGUUUCCUUCUAAUGAACCUGGAACUGCAGAGUAAAUAUUGUUGACUCUGUGUCAGAUUGCUUGUUUUGUUCCUGGAUUCUUCAGUGAUGACGAUCAGAGUCUGAGUGAACCUGCUGUCAGACAGGUUGGCCUGAUUGACGAUGCCAUCGUCCAUCGCCGAUGGCUGAUAGACAUCACGAUGCUGCGCCGGCAAACAGCGUCACCAGCUCCAGUAUCUCGCCCGUGCAUCUGUUGUCAUGCGACAGAGAAGUCACGUUCUAUAGACAGUUUCUAUAGACAGUUGUGAACGUGCUGACAGCUGGUUGCCCAGGCUAUGGAUUAAAGGUAAUACUGUUGGCCAGCAGAGAAGGCCCUGCUCACCCUGACGGCCCACCGCUGCUGUCAGACAACAUCUCCAAGAUGCUAUAAACUGCAGGACUAGAUGGCCAUCCCAAGGUUUCUAGAGAUUACAGCAGCUCCAGACUGAAUCCAAACUCACUCGUGAAGACUUCAGAUGACACCAACGCUCACAAAGACUACAGACGACAACUGUACAUGAACACACAAAACAUUGGACACACAAAACAAAUAUUAUCCUUAUUUUGCCUAUAAGGGUAAAUUUGAUGAUUUUCAAACUGCUUUAUUGUAACGUCUCUUAUAUCUGUAAAUGAACAAUAUUUACUCUCUGAGUUAUGUGGACCUACAUGUCCCCUUUUAUUUGUAAGCAUCACUUUAAAAAUGUUGAAAGAUAAUGUUAAUGUUAACUGAAUGCAAAACUAGAGACUUGUUUAGUAAGAUUUUAUCAGAAAAUAUUUUUGAACUUUUAUCAUGCAAUUUAAAACAUUUUAAUUGCUUAAUUAUAUUGUUUACCUGGUUUUAUUUUGUGUUUAUGUAACUUUUUAAAAAGUUCUUGGCAUAAAGUUCGCAUGCGAUGCUGACAGCACUGAACACAUGACUUUUUAUUAUGAACUAGAUGGUCUUCCCAGUGAGUCUCAGUCAUCUCUGGCUUUUUAAACUGUAACCUUGAAACAUGCAUUUCCUGUAAACCUACUUUGAAAUAAGUAUUGUCAAAAGGUGCUAUACUCAUACAACAUUUAACCAUGCAAGUACUCUAGUAAUGGUUAUUUUUGUUUUUACUAUGGUUUUACUGCAAAAGCUGUAGUAAAAUCAUGGUUAAUGUUCAAAAGACUACAAAUAAUCCCGAAUUAUCCACUUUUGAUCAAAGCAUCUGGUAAAUGUUAUUGUAUUUGUACAUGUAAUAUGAAAUAAAUGAAAAUAUUAAUAAAGUUGCGUCUGUUCUUGA
Long non-coding RNA from Carassius gibelio (silver crucian carp), 2403 nucleotides. RefSeq lists it as uncharacterized. NCBI's taxonomy places the organism in Eukaryota, Metazoa, Chordata, Actinopteri, Cypriniformes, Cyprinidae. The record is from RefSeq and is a predicted model, not a curated record. The transcript has 9 exons.